UUGGUUUAAAUCAUUGUAGGUCUGCACUUUGAAAAUUGAACUCACACUAUGUGAUGAGACAUACAUUGAUUUCAUCUAA
Medicago truncatula (barrel medic) is the source of this 79-nucleotide microRNA precursor. It matches the Rfam family "MIR5269 microRNA precursor family". NCBI's taxonomy places the organism in Eukaryota, Viridiplantae, Streptophyta, Magnoliopsida, Fabales, Fabaceae. The record is from Rfam.